Molecule: ribosomal RNA, 253 nt
Filed under: uncultured bacterium
Lineage: Bacteria
Description: partial 16S ribosomal RNA
Rfam family: Bacterial small subunit ribosomal RNA
Source: RNAcentral
UACGUAGGGGGCAAGCGUUGUCCGGAAUCAUUGGGCGUAAAGAGCGUGUAGGCGGUCCGGUAAGUCGGCCGUGAAAGUCCAGGGCUCAACCCUGGGAUGCCGGUCGAUACUGCCGGACUAGAGUUCGGAAGAGGCGAGUGGAAUUCCCGGUGUAGCGGUGAAAUGCGCAGAUAUCGGGAGGAACACCUAUGGCGAAGGCAGCUCGCUGGGACGUUACUGACGCUGAGACGCGAAAGCGUGGGGAGCAAACAGG